GUGGGGAAUCUUCCGCAAUGGACGAAAGUCUGACGGAGCGACGCCGCGUGAGUGAAGAAGGCCUUCGGGUCGUAAAGCUCUGUCAUCAGGGACGAACGGCCGGUGGAGUGGAAAGCCACCGGAUUGACGGUACCUGAGAAGGAAGCCACGGCUAACUACGUGCCAGCAGCCGCGGUAAUACGUAGGUGGCAAGCGUUGUCCGGAAUUAUUGGGCGUAAAGCGCGCGCAGGUGGGAUCUUACGUCCAUUUUUAAAGUUCGGAGCUCAACUCCGUGAUGGGAUGGAAACUGGGAUUCUUGAGUAGCGGAGAGGAAAGCGGAAUUCCCCGUGUAGCGGUGAAAUGCGUAGAUAUGGGGAGGAACACCAGUGGCGAAGGCGGCUUUCUGGACGGUGUCUGACACUGAGGCGCGAAAGCCAGGGGAGCGAACGGGAUUAGAAACCCGAGUAGUCC
This 450-nucleotide ribosomal RNA is filed under the name uncultured bacterium. Its description in RNAcentral is "partial 16S ribosomal RNA". It matches the Rfam family "Bacterial small subunit ribosomal RNA", at positions 354 to 796 of the family's 1533-position model. The record is from RNAcentral.